Transfer RNA from Basidiobolus meristosporus CBS 931.73, 82 nucleotides. It matches the Rfam family "tRNA". Rfam says of the family: Transfer RNA (tRNA) molecules are approximately 80 nucleotides in length. Their secondary structure includes four short double-helical elements and three loops (D, anti-codon, and T loops). NCBI's taxonomy places the organism in Eukaryota, Fungi, Basidiobolomycota, Basidiobolomycetes, Basidiobolales, Basidiobolaceae. The record is from Rfam.
GACACUUUGGCGGAGUGGUUAACGCGGUGCCCUGCUAAGGCAUUUCCCUAUGGGAGCGCAGGUUCGAAUCCUGCAGGUGUCG